AGAAUCAACGCUGGCGGCGUGCCUAACACAUGCAAGUCGAACGAGAAAGGGUAGCAAUACCUGAGUAAAGUGGCGCACGGGUGAGUAACACGUGACUAACCUACCCUGGAGUGGGGGAUAACUGAGGGAAACCUUAGCUAAUACCGCAUAAUACCUACGGGUCAAAGGAGCAAUUCGCUUCAGGAGGGGGUCGCGGCCGAUUAGUUAGUUGGCGGGGUAAUGGCCCACCAAGACGAUGAUCGGUAUCCGGCCUGAGAGGGCGCACGGACACACUGGAACUGAAACACGGUCCAGACUCCUACGGGAGGCAGCAGUGGGGAAUUUUGCGCAAUGGGGGAAACCCUGACGCAGCAACGCCGCGUGGAGGAUGAAGUCCUUCGGGACGUAAACUCCUUUCGAUCGGGACGAUUAUGACGGUACCGGAGAAGAAGCCCCGGCUAACUUCGCGCCAGCAGCCGC
Molecule: ribosomal RNA, 459 nt
Filed under: uncultured bacterium
Lineage: Bacteria
Description: SSU rRNA
Rfam family: Bacterial small subunit ribosomal RNA
Source: RNAcentral